UACGUAGGGUGCGAGCGUUGUCCGGAAUUAUUGGGCGUAAAGAGCUUGUAGGCGGUCUGUCGCGUCGGAAGUGAAAACUCAGGGCUUAACCCUGAGCCUGCUUCCGAUACGGGCAGACUAGAGGAAGGUAGGGGAGAACGGAACUCCUGGUGGAGCGGUGGAAUGCGCAGAUAUUCGGAGGAACACCAAUUGCGAAGGCAGCUCACUGGGCCGCUAUCGACGCUGAGGAGCGAAAGCUAGGGGAGCAAACAGG
RNAcentral lists this ribosomal RNA (253 nucleotides) under uncultured bacterium. RNAcentral describes it as "partial 16S ribosomal RNA". It matches the Rfam family "Bacterial small subunit ribosomal RNA", at positions 524 to 776 of the family's 1533-position model. The record is from RNAcentral.